Oreochromis niloticus (Nile tilapia) is the source of this 1210-nucleotide long non-coding RNA. RefSeq lists it as uncharacterized. The record is from RefSeq and is a predicted model, not a curated record. NCBI's taxonomy places the organism in Eukaryota, Metazoa, Chordata, Actinopteri, Cichliformes, Cichlidae. The transcript has 4 exons.
CUGUCUCCCCCCCACAUAAGAGCGUAUGGCCAAAAGAGAUGUAGCAUAUCUAAGAAGAAAAAAUAUGAAGUGAAAAUGAGUGAGAAAUUAUUAUUUUUUAACAUUUAAAGUGAGGUAGUAACAUUUUGCAGGAAAAAAGUCACAAGAGAGUGUAUUCAUCUUCAGAAGGAGUCAAAAAUGACGGAGGAAAGAGUUGCAGUGAAGAGCAGGUUAUGCUGAGUUUUCUUUCGGGAGUAUGUCAUCUGUUGACAUAUCAUAACUUUCAUUAUCAGGGGACACGCAUGCAGAUAGAUUAGGGCAGAAAACACACACAUGUAUGCACAAAAACACACAUGCACACAUUCAAAUAAUACAGUUGGGGCCCCGGACGGAAGUGCCCAAAGCUAACAGUGCUGGCCUGACCGAUACACUGAAAUGCCUGACCCUGUGAAACCAUUGUCUGUAACAAGUAUCUGGGCUACGUAUGGACAGAGACAAGACAAAAAUACAUAUUAAACCGAAGCACAAGUAACAACAGCUGGCAAAGCAUUUUCUCAAAUUUGCAAAGCUAAGUGCCAAAGUGCAUGUUUAAAUUUGCAGCUUCUGUUUAUUGGCGUGCACAUAAUUAAUUCUGCCUGUGAGAAUCAGCGAUCUUUAAUUGGCAGCAAGCACUACAGAGGCCUGGAAGUGUGAGCACUUUAACCUGAAGUUGACACCGCCUCAGGGUUCAGCGUGCACUGACACCGCCCCACAACCAGCGCCAUUUGGUGGCGCUAGAAAAUAUUGGAGAAACAUGUUAAUCUGGCUGAUGUGUGCAAAGAAGGGGGGAAAACAGCAAUGCGGAGAGAAAACAGUGAAUCAAGCUGCAAACCAACAAUAAUUCACACAACGCAGCAGAUUGUGCCUUCUGUUGUGACAGGAGCUUCGAGGAGGUGCUUAGCAGAGGUCAAACAGGCCACCAGCUUCUGACGAGAGGCACUGCGUGCAAAGAAGAACUCAUGGGACAUCCCUGCCAGUAUAGCCCCGAGCACCGGCCCGAUCCAGUAAACCUGCAGAGAUGAGGACUGCCCCGAAUUAGAAGUGACCGGUCAUCGAAGAUUUGGAGUUUGGAUUUGUGUCUCACCCAGUGGUCUUCCCAGAAGCCUGUGAUGAUGGCUGGACCCAGCGAGCGGGCGGGAUUCAUACUCGCGCCAGAGAACCGAGCCUGAAGAAAAACAACAUCACAAUAAGG